CUAAGGGAGUUCCCAUAGCCAUAAAAUCAACUCUUUCUACGGCUAGACACUGCCUGCCAUAUCACAGCAUUGAAAAUAACACAUAUUUUAAGAUUUUUAUAAGAAUACGAUCAAGAAAAGCCGACUGUUUCUACAUAGCAUCCAUUUCGCACACGGUGCCACCAUUCUCGUCGGAAAAUGCCUUGUAAAUCGCAAUCGCGAAACAAAUGCUGGACAUCAGCUGUCAACUUAGGCUAUGUAGGACUGGUGCUUGUCUUGGCUGGAGGGGCCUCUGCUAUGGAUGUGCUGGUAGCCAAUCAGAUCACAGCGCUCAACGGAACCAAGGUCAAAAUCUCCUGCACGUUCACAUCCUGUUACAAGGUGGAAAACAGCAAGUUUGCCAUGAACUGGAGCUACCAAGAGACAGCCAAUGACACCAGGGAUAUUUUCAUGAUCUUUCAUAAGAACAAGAUGCAGCCGACCGGCAUGCGGUUUGGGGACCGGGUGGCGUUCGUGGGGAACGUGGAGAAGAACGAUCUGUCGGUCACCCUGGAGGACGUGCAGAUCUCCGACGAGGGCUUGUACCACUGCUGGGUGCACAACCCACCGGACCGCGUGCUGGGCCUCGGGACCAUCGAGCUCGUUGUGGUGACAGAACUGCCGCCCCCUCGGGACACGACCAUCGCCGUGGUGAUCGGCGCGUCGGUGGGGGGCAUCCUGGCCCUGCUCAUCCUCUCCAUGGUGGUGGUGAAGUGCGUGCGUCGCCACCGGAAACAGGAGCUCAUCUCCGACGAGCAGAAGAUGGAGGAGGAGGGCAAGCUGGACCCGGAGGGGGGCACGGAGGAGGGCACCAAACAACUGUAACCAGGCUGCUGGUUCCAGAGGGCCUUGGGUUGGUGGAGCCUGCCCCGCCUCUAAUGUGCUGAAAUAUAUAUUCCCUGCCUGAAGAUGUAUAUUGAACCUUGCUUGAGUCAACGUCCUGCAACUGCCUCACCUUUAGCCCCGAUCCUCUUCUUGUUCCUUCGCACAAGAUCUCAGACUACGGGCAAAGGCCCACAUCCAAGCAACAAACUGCUUCAAGUCUACUGUACCGACCAGGCCGAUCUGAGUCUGGCUAUCCACAUGUCCUGGUUCCUUGGUCUUUCUUAGUGUAGAUGUCCCAGAAACUAAGCAUCUAGAUUAUAGGUUAAGAACAAGUUAGGCUAGCCGUCUGAACACUGCCACUUUUGCUCUCUCUCUCUCUCUCUCUCUCUCUCUCUCUCUCUCUCUCUCUCUCUCUCUCUCUCAUGGACUAAAAGUAAACAGUAGAAUGGGAAUCCAUGAGAAUAUUUCCACACAAGCGAUUUUGGUUUACUGGAGUCGUUAUUUAGCGUAUCUUCCAGAGUGUGUUGUGAUUUCAAUUUGUUUUUGUCUUCCACAAGCUGCCAAACUAUUUUAUAAAAAGGUAAACUGUAUAAUAGAGUAAAAAAAAAAAUCUUUCUUAACAAGCACAUGUCACCGUGUCCCACUGUUGAGUAGUUUACCUGGCUAUCUAGAUGAAGAAUGAAGAUGUUUUUGUUUUCCCUUAACUAUGGAUAGGUUUCCUGUAUCUUUCCCCAAGCCUCAUGUUUAUCUCUAGGGACCAAUGUGGGACAGGCAUAUCCGUAUCUUCUUUAUAUGAUAGCUAGUUAGAGUGUCUGUGUGCCAAGUGUAUGAAGGGACAGUUUCAUAUGUGUGCUGGGUGGUGUACAUUCUUUUGUAUCUGUUUGCAUCUUGAGAACCCCUUAGAUAGCAUUUAACCCAGCGGUCCCGCUAGGGAACGUGCAUCUACUCCCAGAUCUUAGUAUGGGAGACAGAUACAGAAUGCAUCUGUGUGUGUGUGUGUGUGUGUGUGUGUGUGUGUGUGUGUGUGUGUGUGUGUGUGUGUGAGAGAGAGAAUGUGUUUGUGUAUGUUGGAGUGUGUGUUAUAUGGAUAAUUCCUCUUGGCGAAGAUCUGAACACUAAGGUAGUAAUUUUCCUUGUUUGUUGCACUGCUUGCUACUGUGUUGUUGAGUCAUGCCUUCGUCACCUGGGUGCAGUUUGUUGUGCAGUUAUUUGGCACCUUAGCAUGUUUUCAUUUGCGCACACAAUGACAGAUCCCACUUAGUCUACGGAAAGCCCUGUCAUCCCCCAAUACAAGUAUCAAUUAAAUAUGUUCCACUGCACCUAUACAUGCAUGAAGAGGUCUACUGACAGCAUAUCACACAGACACACACAAAGGGAACAUUCAUGCAUACACCCUUAUUAGACACAGAGACCUCAUUACUCCACACAAACACAUACACACACACACACACACACACACACAAACACACACACACACACAC
Alosa sapidissima (American shad) is the source of this 2324-nucleotide RNA transcript. It is a transcript of the gene named sodium channel, voltage-gated, type II, beta, with no coding region annotated. The record is from RefSeq and is a predicted model, not a curated record. The transcript has 6 exons. NCBI's taxonomy places the organism in Eukaryota, Metazoa, Chordata, Actinopteri, Clupeiformes, Clupeidae.